Molecule: ribosomal RNA, 218 nt
Filed under: uncultured bacterium
Lineage: Bacteria
Description: partial 16S ribosomal RNA
Rfam family: Bacterial small subunit ribosomal RNA
Source: RNAcentral
UAGUCUGGGAAACGUGCCUGAUGGAGGGGGAUAACUACUGGAAACGGUAGCUAAUACCGCAUAAUGUCGCAAGACCAAAGUGGGGGACCUUCGGGCCUCAUGCCAUCAGAUGUGCCAGAUGGGAUUAGCUAGUAGGUGGGGUAAUGGCUCACCUAGGCGACGAUCCCUAGCUGGUCUGAGAGGAUGACCAGCCACACUGGAACUGAGACACGGUCCAG